UGGCUCUCGCAUCGAUGAAGAACGCAGCGAAAUGCGAUAAGUAAUGUGAAUUGCAGAAUUCAGUGAAUCAUCGAAUCUUUGAACGCAGAUUGCGCCCUUUGGUAUUCCGAAGGGCAUGCCUGUUUGAGUGUCAUAUGACCUUCACCUGAUCGGUUUUCAUUAACCGGUCACGGUGCUUUGGACGUCUUUGCCUUGUGCUGCGCUUGGCUCGUCUUAAAUGUCUAAGUGGAAAAGCGUGAUAAGUCAUUCGCUUCAACCUCCACUCUAAUCUUUUUUCAAGAUCUGACCUCAAAUCAGGUAGGACUACCCGCUGA
This 314-nucleotide unclassified non-coding RNA is filed under the name uncultured fungus. RNAcentral describes it as "partial contains 5.8S ribosomal RNA and internal transcribed spacer 2". The stretch from base 1 to 133 matches the Rfam family "5.8S ribosomal RNA", at positions 22 to 154 of the family's 154-position model. The record is from RNAcentral. Lineage: Eukaryota; Fungi.